Molecule: ribosomal RNA, 253 nt
Filed under: uncultured bacterium
Lineage: Bacteria
Description: partial 16S ribosomal RNA
Rfam family: Bacterial small subunit ribosomal RNA
Source: RNAcentral
UACGUAGGGGGCAAGCGUUGUCCGGAUUUAUUGGGCGUAAAGAGCGUGUAGGCGGCUAGGUAGGUCCGCUGUGAAAACUCGAGGCUCAACCUCGAGAGGUCGGUGGAAACCAUCUAGCUAGAGUCCGGAAGAGGAGAAUGGAAUUCCUGGUGUAGCGGUGAAAUGCGCAGAUAUCAGGAAGAACACCGGUGGCGAAGGCGGGUCUCUGGGCCGUAACUGACGCUGAGGAGCGAAAGCAUGGGGAGCGAACAGG